AGUGAACGCUGGCGGUAGGCCUAACACAUGCAAGUCGAACGGCAGCACAGUAAGAGCUUGCUCUUACGGGUGGCGAGUGGCGGACGGGUGAGGAAUACAUCGGAAUCUACUUUUUCGUGGGGGAUAACGUAGGGAAACUUACGCUAAUACCGCAUACGACCUACGGGUGAAAGCAGGGGAUCUUCGACCUUGCGCGAUUGAAUUAGCCGAUGUCGGAUUAGCUAGUUGGCGGGGUAAAGGCCCACCAAGGCGACGAUCCGUAGCUGGUCUGAGAGGAUGAUCAGCCACACUGGAACUGAGACACGGUCCAGACUCCUAUGGGAGGCAGCAGUGGGGAAUAUUGGACAAUGGGCGCAAGCCUGAUCCAGCCAUACCGCGUGGGUGAAGAAGGCCUUCGGGUUGUAAAGCCCUUUUGUUGGGAAAGAAAAGCAGCAGGUUAAUACCCCGCUGUUCUGACGGUACCCAAAGAAUAAGCACCGGCUAACUUCGUG
This 491-nucleotide ribosomal RNA is filed under the name uncultured bacterium. RNAcentral's name for it is "partial 16S ribosomal RNA". It matches the Rfam family "Bacterial small subunit ribosomal RNA", at positions 29 to 507 of the family's 1533-position model. The record is from RNAcentral.